RNAcentral lists this small RNA (28 nucleotides) under Bombyx mori (domestic silkworm). RNAcentral describes it as "piRNA piR-bmo-1567993". Lineage: Eukaryota; Metazoa; Arthropoda; Insecta; Lepidoptera; Bombycidae. The record is from RNAcentral.
UAAUGCUUUGUUGGUUCUUAACAGGUCC